UACGUAGGUGGCGAGCGUUGUCCGGAUUUACUGGGCGUAAAGGGAGCGUAGGCGGACUUUUAAGUGAGAUGUGAAAUACCCGGGCUCAACUUGGGUGCUGCAUUUCAAACUGGAAGUCUAGAGUGCAAGAGAGGAGAAUGGAAUUCCUAGUGUAGCGGUGAAAUGCGUAGAGAUUAGGAAGAACACCAGUGGCGAAGGCGAUUCUCUGGACUGUAACUGACGCUGAGGCUCGAAAGCGUGGGGAGCAAACAGGAUUAGAUACCCCGGUA
Molecule: ribosomal RNA, 269 nt
Filed under: uncultured prokaryote
Description: partial 16S ribosomal RNA
Rfam family: Bacterial small subunit ribosomal RNA
Source: RNAcentral